This 252-nucleotide ribosomal RNA is filed under the name uncultured bacterium. RNAcentral describes it as "partial 16S ribosomal RNA". It matches the Rfam family "Bacterial small subunit ribosomal RNA", at positions 524 to 776 of the family's 1533-position model. The record is from RNAcentral.
AACGUAGGAGGCAAGCGUUAUCCGGAGUGACUGGGCGUAAAGAGCGUGUAGGCGGUUGAGUAAGUUGCGUGUGAAAGCGCCCGGCUAAACUGGGCGAGGACAGGCAAGACUGCUGAGCUAGAGGCCGAUAGAGGGGUGCGGAAUUCCGGGUGUAGCGGUGAAAUGUGUAGAGAUACGGAGGAACACCAGUGGUGCAGACGGCGCCCUGGAUCGGACCUGACGCUGAGACGCGAAAGCGUGGGAGCGAACGGG